AUUUGCACCUGGAGUGUCGGCAAAGCGAGACUGUUCGUUUUUUCGUAAGAGAUAAAUUAAAUAUUCAUAAAACACACAACUGUAACAAGACCAAUUCCAUAUUUCUGUAUGGUUGGGAUCAGCAUGGCCGUGGGUCGGCUGUCUGCCGCCUCUGUGAUGCGCACUCCCGAAGCGGAGCUGAUGCAGGACGUGCUGAGCGGUACCUGCGGCGGCGGCGGGGUCGUGCCUUUGCCGGCCACGGUCACUAAACUGAAGCGGGGACCGGCCGGGGUGUACCGCUCGACAGAGGACUGGCGGGACAUUGUGAAAAGAAGACACCUUGCAAACGCCAAGGAAAGACAGCGUAUUCGUAAUCUCAACAGCGGCUUUUCCACUCUGAAAACCAUCGUUCCGCUCAUCCCCCGGGACCGCAAGCCCAGUAAGGUGGACACGCUGAAGGCAGCUACUGAGUAUAUCCGCCUGCUGCACUGCGUCCUGGACCAGACCGGCGGGGCGGAGCCCCGGGUUUCUGUGCAGCCGCUGGAGAGCAGGGUGCUGACAGAGGGAGGGGACGCUCUGACCCGCACUGUCCCGGGGGCCAGCCUGCCGCCCCCGCAGGCUGGCAGCGUGUUCAUCCGGGCGCCAGGGCCCCUCGCCGAGCUGGAGGGCCACACCUUGCUGCUGAGAAGAUGCUCCCUGCCGACCUACAUCAUCCAGCUUCAGCCGGACCGCAGCCUGAUAUUCCAGCCUAAUAAAUGAAGGGAGUCGCUUUGCUCCAAUACUAGCUAGUGUGAAUCGCAGCCUCGAAGAUAUGACCUCAACCUAGUGGGGGGGUGCCCCGGGUGAUUGUCCUGGCUGCUGGCCCCUGAACCCAGCUCUGCAGCCCAUAAACGAGCCACGUUGAGUUUCUGUUCACCUGCAUGGAUCCUGUGUGCAAACUCGUUACCGUUCACAUGUUUGCAGAGACUCUGGAGUUGAAGAAUGGAUCCUACUGCGUGUUGUUUUUUUUUUUUUGGGGG
RNA transcript from Polyodon spathula (Mississippi paddlefish), 998 nucleotides. It is a transcript of the gene named folliculogenesis specific bHLH transcription factor, with no coding region annotated. NCBI's taxonomy places the organism in Eukaryota, Metazoa, Chordata, Actinopteri, Acipenseriformes, Polyodontidae. The transcript has 5 exons. The record is from RefSeq and is a predicted model, not a curated record.